UACGUAGGGUGCGAACGUUGUUCGGAAUCACUGGGCAUAAAGGGCGCGUAGGCGGUCUGAUAAGUCAAGUGUGAAAUCCCUCGGCCUAACCGAGGAACUGCAUUUGAUACUGUCGGGCUAGAGUACAGGAGGGGAGAGUGGAAUUCCUGGUGGAGCGGUGAAAUGCGUAGAUAUCAGGAGGAACGCCGGCGGCGAAAGCGACUCUCUGCCUGUUACUGACGCUGAGGCGCGAAAGCUAGGGGAGCAAACGGG
Molecule: ribosomal RNA, 252 nt
Filed under: uncultured bacterium
Lineage: Bacteria
Description: partial 16S ribosomal RNA
Rfam family: Bacterial small subunit ribosomal RNA
Source: RNAcentral